This 253-nucleotide ribosomal RNA is filed under the name uncultured bacterium. Its description in RNAcentral is "partial 16S ribosomal RNA". It matches the Rfam family "Bacterial small subunit ribosomal RNA", at positions 524 to 776 of the family's 1533-position model. The record is from RNAcentral.
UACGUAGGGUGCGAGCGUUAAUCGGAAUUACUGGGCGUAAAGCGUGCGCAGGCGGCGCGUUAAGACAGGUGUGAAAGCCCCGAGCUUAACUUGGGAAUUGCGCUUGUGACUGGCGUGCUGGAGUGUGGCAGAGGGGGGUGGAAUUCCGCGUGUAGCAGUGAAAUGCGUAGAGAUGCGGAGGAACACCGAUGGCGAAGGCAGCCCCCUGGGCUAACACUGACGCUCAGGCACGAAAGCGUGGGGAGCAAACAGG